RNAcentral lists this ribosomal RNA (699 nucleotides) under uncultured bacterium. RNAcentral's name for it is "bacterial SSU rRNA". It matches the Rfam family "Bacterial small subunit ribosomal RNA", at positions 8 to 717 of the family's 1533-position model. The record is from RNAcentral.
AGAGUUUGAUCCUGGCUCAGGAUGAACGCUAGCGGCAGGCCGAAUACAUGCAAGUCGAACGAACGCUUCGGCGUUAGUGGCGCAUGGGUGCGUAACACGUAGGCAAUCUACCCUAUGGCGGGGGAUAACACUGGGAAACCGGUGCUAAUACCGCAUAGAUUCACUGGGGGGCAUCCUCGUAGUGGGUAAAGAUUUAUCACCAUAGGAUGAGCCUGCGUCCGAUUAGCUAGUUGGGGGUGUAACGGACCACCAAGGCGACGAUCGGUAGCUGGUCUGAGAGGAUGAUCAGCCACACUGGCACUGAGACACGGGCCAGACUCCUACGGGAGGCAGCAGUAGGGAAUAUUGGUCAAUGGGCGCAAGCCUGAACCAGCCAUGCCGCGUGCGGGAAGACGGUCCACAGGAUUGUAAACCGCUUUUCUACGGGGAUAAGGCGCCAUUAGAUGGCGAUUGAAGGUACCGUAGGAAUAAGCACCGGCAAACUACGUGCCAGCAGCCGCGGUAAUACGUAGGGUGCAAGCGUUGUCCGGAAUUACUGGGUUUAAAGGGUACGUAGGCGGCUUCAUAAGCUGCGGGUGAAAUACUGGGGCUUAACCCUGGUGCUGCCUGCAGAACUGUGGGGCUUGAGCACGGCUGAGGUAGCUGGAAUUAGUGGUGUAGCGGUGAAAUGCGUAGAUAUCACUAGGAACGCCAAUUGCG